AUUUUCCUCAGCCCCUGAUGCAUCUGGCUCACGUGGGAUCUAUUCCAACAGCAUGAUAACCACAAUAAUCAAGGUCUGCAGAGAGGCUGUAAAAGCACAGAGGACAGCUCCCAACUUAAGCUGAAUCUUUCUAAAACACAAGGUGUGGCUGAAGCUGAGGCCGUAUGGAGAGAUGGUGGGAGAUGAGGCUAAUACGGUGCAGGGACCAGACCAGAAAAGGCCAGCUUUGGCUAUUAUUCUGAUACGCAGCAAUCCAGACAUUACAGAACAGAUGUGCUGUGUAGAGGAGAGACCUACACAGCUCUCCUGUGUUAGAUAGUCCUCAAUUGUGUGACCUUGGGACUAAGACUGAAGCUAGAAGAUACCAAAAAAUUCAUCAACUGAGUUGGAAAAACAUUAGUCAGACUCUUGGCUGAAUCCCCUGUCUACAAGAUAGAAUGACUUCUGCUUCUUCCACCUUGUUUGGAUUUGCCUACAACACAGCACAUUAUGACAACCUAUGUUCAUUAGGCUGUCUCCAAGAAUGUUGACACAGGUUACAUCUAUUCCAUGGAAAACUAACUGGCUUAAAGUAAAAUUUUAGGU
Molecule: long non-coding RNA, 585 nt
Organism: Homo sapiens (human)
Lineage: Eukaryota; Metazoa; Chordata; Mammalia; Primates; Hominidae
Exons: 3
Source: RefSeq, a predicted model, not a curated record